CGAGGUCAACCUUUGGAAAAUUGGGGGGUUUUACGGCAAGAGUCCCUCCGGAUCCCAGUGCGAGACGUAAAGUUACUACGCAAAGGAGGCUCCGGGAGGGUCCGCCACUACCUUUGAGGGCCUACAUCAGCUGUAGGGCCCCAACACCAAGCAGAGCUUGAGGGUUGAAAUGACGCUCGAACAGGCAUGCCCGCCAGAAUGCUGGCGGGCGCAAUGUGCGUUCAAAGAUUCGAUGAUUCACUGAAUUCUGCAAUUCACAUUACUUAUCGCAUUUCGCUGCGUUCUUCAUCGAUGCCAGAACCAAGAGAUCCGUUGUUAAAAGUUUUGAUUAUUUGCUUGUACCACUCAGAAGAAACGUCGUUAAAUCAGAGUUUGGUUAUCCUCCGGCGGGCGCCGACCCGCCCGGGGGCGGGAGGCCGGGAGGGUCACGGAGACCCUACCCGCCGAAGCAACAGUUGUAGGUAUGUUCACAAAGGGUUGUAGAGCGUA
This 489-nucleotide unclassified non-coding RNA is filed under the name Colletotrichum fragariae. RNAcentral's name for it is "sequence contains 18S rRNA gene, ITS1, 5.8S rRNA gene, ITS2, 28S rRNA gene". Lineage: Eukaryota; Fungi; Ascomycota; Sordariomycetes; Glomerellales; Glomerellaceae. The record is from RNAcentral.